CGCAUCUGUGCAUGCAGCAUAUCAAUAAGCGGAGGAAAAGAAACUAACAAGGAUUCCCCUAGUAACGGCGAGUGAAGCGGGAGGAGCUCAAAUUUGAAAUCUUAAAGGGUUUCCCUUUACGAAUUAGUAGUUUAAAGAAGUGUUUUCUGUUGAGGUUUUGGUAAAAGUUCUUUGGAAUAGGACAUCAUAGAGGGUGAGAAUCCCGUAUUUGACCUUUACUUUCAACUUUGUGAUACACUUUCAAAGAGUCGGAUUGUUUGGGAAUGCAGUCCAAAAUGGGUGGUAAAUUUCAUCUAAAGCUAAGUAUUGGCGAGAGACCGAUAGCGAACAAGUACCGUGAGGGAAAGAUGAAAAGAACUUUGAAAAGAGAGUUAAACAGUACGUGAAAUUGUCAAAAGGGAAGCGUUUGACACCAGUGUUGUUUUUCUGAAAAUCAAUUAAAGAACUGUUUAUGCUAAGCUGUUUAGACUUUAUCAGCUAAUCUGUUUAGUUUUGAGCUUUUCUUUAAUGCACUUUUCAGUUAACAAGUCAACAUCAAUUUCUUUUGCUGUAAAAAAGCUUGAGGAAGGUGGCUUGAGAUUCGUCUUAAGUGUUUAUAGCCUCUUGCCUAUGCAGUCGGAGAGAUUGAGGUCUGCAGCGUAGAUCCUUCGGGGCUAAAUGCAUUUGUGCUAAGUUAUAGCAUUUUAUAGACAACUUGUUGACUAUGAUUUGUCUUGUAGCUUACUCGCUUAUGUUAUUUUACCUACGCUUAGGAUGUUGAGUCGUAGAGCACGCAG
RNAcentral lists this ribosomal RNA (776 nucleotides) under uncultured Neocallimastigales. RNAcentral describes it as "partial large subunit ribosomal RNA". It matches the Rfam family "Eukaryotic large subunit ribosomal RNA", at positions 26 to 628 of the family's 3401-position model. Lineage: Eukaryota; Fungi; Neocallimastigomycota; Neocallimastigomycetes; Neocallimastigales. The record is from RNAcentral.